GAUGAACGCUGGCGGCGUGCCUAAUACAUGCAAGUCGAGCGAACAGACGAGGAGCUUGCUCCUCUGACGUUAGCGGCGGACGGGUGAGUAACACGUGGAUAACCUACCUAUAAGACUGGGAUAACUUCGGGAAGCCGGAGCUAAUACCGGAUAAUAUAUUGAACCGCAUGGUUCAAUAGUGAAAGACGGCUUUGCUGUCACUUAUAGAUGGAUCCGCGCCGCAUUAGCUAGUUGGUAAGGUAACGGCUUACCAAGGCAACGAUGCGUAGCCGACCUAAGAGGGUGAUCGGCCACACUGGAACUGAGACACGGUCCAGACUCCUACGGGAGGCAGCAGUAGGGAAUCUUCCGCAAUGGGCGAAAGCCUGACGGAGCAACGCCGCGUGAGUGAUGAAGGUCUUCGGAUCGUAAAACUCUGUUAUUAGGGAAGAACAAAUGUGUAAGUAACUAUGCACGUCUUGACGGUACCUAAUCAGAAAGCCACGGCUAACUACGUG
This 497-nucleotide ribosomal RNA is filed under the name uncultured bacterium. RNAcentral describes it as "partial 16S ribosomal RNA". It matches the Rfam family "Bacterial small subunit ribosomal RNA", at positions 28 to 507 of the family's 1533-position model. The record is from RNAcentral.